RNAcentral lists this ribosomal RNA (253 nucleotides) under uncultured bacterium. RNAcentral's name for it is "partial 16S ribosomal RNA". It matches the Rfam family "Bacterial small subunit ribosomal RNA", at positions 524 to 776 of the family's 1533-position model. The record is from RNAcentral.
UACGAAGGGGGCUAGCGUUGUUCGGAAUUACUGGGCGUAAAGCGCACGUAGGCGGACAUUUAAGUCAGGGGUGAAAUCCCGGAGCUCAACUCCGAAACUGCAUUUGAUACUGGCGUGCUUGAGGACUGGAGAGGAGACUGGAAUUCAUGGUGUAGCAGUGAAAUGCGUAGAGAUCAUGAGGAAGACCAGUGGCGAAGGCGGGUCUCUGGACAGUUCCUGACACUGAGGCACGAAGGCCAGGGGAGCAAACGGG